Molecule: ribosomal RNA, 1439 nt
Filed under: uncultured organism
Description: partial small subunit ribosomal RNA
Rfam family: Bacterial small subunit ribosomal RNA
Source: RNAcentral
CGGCGUGCUUAACACAUGCAAGUCGAACGGAAAGGCCCUGCUUUUGUGGGGUGCUCGAGUGGCGAACGGGUGAGUAACACGUGAGUAACCUGCCCUUGACUUUGGGAUAACUUCAGGAAACUGGGGCUAAUACCGGAUAGGAGCUCCUGCUGCAUGGUGGGGGUUGGAAAGUUUCGGCGGUUGGGGAUGGACUCGCGGCUUAUCAGCUUGUUGGUGGGGUAGUGGCUUACCAAGGCUUUGACGGGUGGCCGGCCUGAGAGGGUGACCGGCCACAUUGGGACUGAGAUACGGCCCAGACUCCUACGGGAGGCAGCAGUGGGGAAUAUUGCACAAUGGGCGGAAGCCUGAUGCAGCAACGCCGCGUGCGGGAUGACGGCCUUCGGGUUGUAAACCGCUUUCGCCUGUGACGAAGCGUGAGUGACGGUAAUGGGUAAAGAAGCACCGGCUAACUACGUGCCAGCAGCCGCGGUGAUACGUAGGGUGCGAGCGUUGUCCGGAUUUAUUGGGCGUAAAGGGCUCGUAGGUGGUUGAUCGCGUCGGAAGUGUAAUCUUGGGGCUUAACCCUGAGCGUGCUUUCGAUACGGGUUGACUUGAGGAAGGUAGGGGAGAAUGGAAUUCCUGGUGGAGCGGUGGAAUGCGCAGAUAUCAGGAGGAACACCAGUGGCGAAGGCGGUUCUCUGGGCCUUUCCUGACGCUGAGGAGCGAAAGCGUGGGGAGCGAACAGGCUUAGAUACCCUGGUAGUCCACGCUGUAAACGGUGGGUACUAGGUGUGGGGUCCAUUCCACGGGUUCCGUGCCGUAGCUAACGCUUUAAGUACCCCGCCUGGGGAGUACGGCCGCAAGGCUAAAACUCAAAGGAAUUGACGGGGCCCCGCACAAGCGGCGGAGCAUGCGGAUUAAUUCGAUGCAACGCGUAGAACCUUACCUGGGUUUGACAUGGAUCGGGAGUGCUCAGAGAUGGGUGUGCCUCUUUUGGGGUCGGUUCACAGGUGGUGCAUGCCUGUCGUCAGCUCGUGUCGUGAGAUGUUGGGUUAAGUCCCGCAACGAGCGCAACCCUUGUUCACUGUUGCCAGCACGUUAUGGUGGGGACUCAGUGGAGACCGCCGGGGUCAACUCGGAGGAAGGUGGGGAUGACGUCAAGUCCUCAUGCCCCUUAUGUCCAGGGCUUCACGCAUGCUACAAUGGCUGGUACAGAGAGUGGCGAGCCUGUGAGGGUGAGCGAAUCUCGGAAAGCCGGUCUCAGUUCGGAUUGGGGUCUGCAACUCGACCUCAUGAAGUCGGAGUCGCUAGUAAUCGCAGAUCAGCAACGCUGCGGUGAAUACGUUCCCGGGGCUUGUACACACCGCCCGUCAAGUCAUGAAAGUUGGUAACACCCGAAGCCGGUGGCCUAACCGUUGUGGGGGAGCCGUCGAAGGUGGGACUGGUGAUUAGGACUAAGA